AUGAUUCAACAUGAGAUUUUGAGGAGACAACACCCAAACUGUAUCAGACGGAGAUCUUGGGAGCCAGGCACUUGCAUCCACUGCUUUAAAUAAUCUAUUUAAUUGUGGUGGUAUCAUUAUCUAACUUUGCAGACAAGGAACCAAGGCUCAGAGGAGUAAACUAUUUUUAUCCAAGGUUCAAUAUAGAUAGCCAGCCAUGGGAGUCAGAAGUUGAACUCAGAUCUGGUCUGGUUCUGAAGCCUCUCUUCUUUCCAGCUGUGAGACAAAGGAGCAAAUAUGAGAAGCGCCUUUUGCUCACUUCUGCUUGCCAGCAGAAUUUCACAAAAGCCCUGGACUGUGAAGAUGUUUGGAGAGAUGCUUUGAAGACGAAAUCUUUAACAGGGUUAGUGUUUAUACCUCUGUAAUCUACAAGCAGAUGCACUCUUACACCCAAGCCUUGAUGGGAUUCUGCUGCGAUGGAACUUCUGAGCAAAUUUGAUGUGAUUGUGCAGGUACUGAACCUCCACUUCCUGUCUGUAAGCAGUGGGCUGAAAUCCUGGGCUGGAGCGGUCUCAUAGGAUCUCUCUGAAAGGCUGUUCCCAGGCUGUAGGCCUUGGUCUGUAGUCCUCAGUAAGACUUCUGAAUACAACUAGCUUUAAUUCUUUAAAAGCUUGACUGUUUUCUUUAGUCAGCAUGGCAUUCCAUACCAUUGCAGAAACAGAAGCCAGGGGGAUACGUGAAGGAGAGAGCAAUGGCAUAGUGUGUGGAGCUGAUUAGCUAUUAACUAGCAGAGUUGAGAGAAGGCAGCCGGCCAAAUGUCCUGGAGGGGCAAGGAAAAACUUUUUAGAGAGUUGGAAAGUGGCACUCCAGUGAGGUCUGAAGCCAUGAAGGUUGACUUAUUUAUUCCACAGUAGCUAGAAGAAGAGGGGUCUUUCUAGAGAGUGUGACCAGUUUAAGCAAAGGCUUGGGAGGAGGAAUAAAAAUGUGCUGGAAGUGGGAAAAGGGAGCUGGUUAAGGGGCUGAAAGUUAUUCCUUGCGGAUCACCUUCUCAUCACAUGCUCUUUGACCUCACUGUAGUUCAAUGAAGGGAAAGAAAGUCAAAAGCAGGAGGGAAGUUUCUCUCUAAACAGACAGGGGCUCAGCAAACCCAGCCUUCCCCGCAGUCUUACCUGGAGCCAUUGCCUGUGGAAGAGGGUGUUCAGGCCACAGUAUCCCAAGGCUGGGGGCACUUUUGCUCAGAAGCCCCCUGUGGUGCUGCUCCUCAAGAGCCUCCUGGGAGGAAGGGCCAGGGAGCCAGGGAGCCAGGCAGGUCUCCCUUCCCCUUCUGGAAUCCUGGCCAGUUUCCAUGUACAUAACCCAGCUUAAUCCAUAGAAACGGGCUGCAAGGCAUGUUCUUUCUCUUUUUUUCCUCUCCAAGACACGGAAACCUUUAUUUUCUCCCUACACCACAAACCGGUACUGUUAAAUAAUAUUGGAUAAUUGCACCUGUCGUACUCCCCAUAUUGUGCUGAGGAAAAAUAAUUGCUGGUUUUCUGCUUUGCCGUUUAGCUGUGACUCCGUCAUUUGACUCGGAGCAUGUCAUUUUCUCCCAUUUUAGACUAUGUACAGUCAAACCCUGUGAAAGGACUCACAGAUAGCGGCCCUGCGUGUGUGAGUGGGCGCGGGCCUCAUUCAGCAACGAUUUCUAAUUUAUACAGCAUUGAAAAUCCACAGCUAUAAAUAAACAGUUCUGACUGGC
Molecule: long non-coding RNA, 1717 nt
Organism: Symphalangus syndactylus (siamang)
Lineage: Eukaryota; Metazoa; Chordata; Mammalia; Primates; Hylobatidae
Source: RefSeq, a predicted model, not a curated record